CAAUUGGGACCAAUAGAGUAACCGGUGAACUUUGAAGAAAUUAAUUAUUAAUAAAGAGACAGACCAAUAUUAAUAAUUACAAGAGAGGACAUUUUUGGUAACAUUAAUAAUUGGUCAAUUGGUGCUGGAAGAUAAAAUAUCAAUUGAGAUAUUUUAUGAUACUACUUAAUAUUAUAUAUUAUAUAUAAUAUAUAUUUAAUGUAGUAUGUGUGGUGGAAAAGAAAAGAAGAAAAGAAGAUAUAUCAGAAAGAAGAAAAGAAAGAAAGGGAAGAGGAGAGAAAGAGGAAAAGAGGAAAAGAAGGAAGAGAAAGAGGAAGAAGAGGAGAAGAAGAAAACUCAUGGGAG
RNAcentral lists this long non-coding RNA (345 nucleotides) under Lathyrus oleraceus (garden pea). RNAcentral's name for it is "Pisum sativum (pea) long non-coding RNA (PSAT_LNC037609)". Lineage: Eukaryota; Viridiplantae; Streptophyta; Magnoliopsida; Fabales; Fabaceae. The record is from RNAcentral.